RNAcentral lists this signal recognition particle RNA (100 nucleotides) under Acidobacteriota bacterium. RNAcentral describes it as "Acidobacteria bacterium (sponge metagenome) signal recognition particle sRNA small type". It matches the Rfam family "Bacterial small signal recognition particle RNA". Rfam says of the family: The signal recognition particle (SRP) is a universally conserved ribonucleoprotein involved in the co-translational targeting of proteins to membranes. Archaeal SRP consists of a 7S RNA and homologues of the eukaryotic SRP19 and SRP54 proteins. In most bacteria, the SRP consists of a 4.5S RNA and the Ffh protein (a homologue of the eukaryotic SRP54 protein). Lineage: Bacteria; Pseudomonadati; Acidobacteriota. The record is from RNAcentral.
CGCCGGGCCCUGUGCGGUGCAGACUUGUGAACCGCGUCAGACCCGGAAGGGAGCAGCGCUAAGCAGGAUCCUGCAGGUGCCGCAGGCCAACCCGGCGCUC